This 422-nucleotide ribosomal RNA is filed under the name uncultured bacterium. RNAcentral's name for it is "partial 16S ribosomal RNA". It matches the Rfam family "Bacterial small subunit ribosomal RNA", at positions 360 to 774 of the family's 1533-position model. The record is from RNAcentral.
AAUCUUCCGCAAUGGACGAAAGUCUGACGGAGCAACGCCGCGUGAGUGAUUAAGGUUUUCGGAUCGUAAAACUCUGUUGUUAGGGUAGAACAAGUAUCGGAGUCACUUCCGGUACCUUGACGGUACCUGACGAGAAAGCCACGGCCAACUACGUGCCAGCAGCCGCGGUAACACGUAGGUCGCAAGCGUUGUCCGGAAUCAUUGGGCGUAAAGCGCGCGCAGGCGGUCUCUUAAGUCUGAUGUGAAAUCUCGUGGCUCAACCACGAACGGUCAUUGGAAACUGGGGGACUUGAGUACAGAAGAGAAGAGCGGAAUUCCACGUGUAGCGGUGAAAUGCGUAGAGAUGCGGAGGAACACCAGUGGCGAAGGCGGCUCUUUGGUCUGUAACUGACGCUGAGGCGCGAAAGCGUGGGGAGCGAACA